Molecule: ribosomal RNA, 497 nt
Filed under: uncultured bacterium
Lineage: Bacteria
Description: partial 16S ribosomal RNA
Rfam family: Bacterial small subunit ribosomal RNA
Source: RNAcentral
GAUGAACGCUGGCGGCGUGCCUAAUACAUGCAAGUCGAGCGAACGGACGAGAAGCUUGCUUCUCUGAUGUUAGCGGCGGACGGGUGAGUAACACGUGGAUAACCUACCUAUAAGACUGGGAUAACUUCGGGAAACCGGAGCUAAUACCGGAUAAUAUUUUGAACCGCAUGGUUCAAAAGUGAAAGACGGUCUUGCUGUCACUUAUAGAUGGAUCCGCGCUGCAUUAGCUAGUUGGUAAGGUAACGGCUUACCAAGGCAACGAUGCAUAGCCGACCUGAGAGGGUGAUCGGCCACACGGGAACUGAGACACGGUCCAGACUCCUACGGGAGGCAGCAGUAGGGAAUCUUCCGCAAUGGGCGAAAGCCUGACGGAGCAACGCCGCGUGAGUGAUGAAGGUCUUCGGAUCGUAAAACUCCGUUAUUAGGGAAGAACAUAUGUGUAAGUAACUGUGCACAUCUUGACGGUACCUAAUCAGAAAGCCACGGCUAACUACGUG